Small nuclear RNA from Suncus etruscus (white-toothed pygmy shrew), 105 nucleotides. Lineage: Eukaryota; Metazoa; Chordata; Mammalia; Eulipotyphla; Soricidae. The record is from RefSeq and is a predicted model, not a curated record.
GUCUGCUUUGGCAGCACAUGUACUAAAAUUGGAACAAUACAGAGAACAUUAGCAUGGCCUUUGUUCAAGAAUAACACACACAUUUGUGAAGUGUCCCAUGUUUUU